CACUGACCGGGGUCCGGCCCGUCCCACCGGCUUCGAGCCGGUGGGACGGGUUCUGGUUUCCGGGGUUCGAGGCGUCAGCCGCUGUC
This 86-nucleotide transfer RNA is filed under the name Amycolatopsis bartoniae. RNAcentral describes it as "tRNA-Arg". Lineage: Bacteria; Bacillati; Actinomycetota; Actinomycetes; Pseudonocardiales; Pseudonocardiaceae. The record is from RNAcentral.